GUAGAAGUCUCAGCUACCUCUCCUGCAUUGUGUCUUCCUUGCAUGCCGCUAGGCUCCUGCUGUGACAGAAUGGACUGAACCGCUGAACUGUGAACCAGCCUCAGAGCUGGAGUCCUAUGGCUUCCCUAGAGAUGGUAUCGGCCUGGCUUCUAGAUUACAGGGGAUGGCCAGGGAAGGUGUCAUGGCUCGUGGCUUCCAAAGACAGCUGCACCAACAGCCUCGAUUCUGCCAGCGGACAAGAUAAAAACGCCCUCCUUUAAUAAUUAACGAGUAGGCACCGGCGCCCCUGGCGUGGGCCCCCAGGAGGCCUCUCGCGGUGGCUUUGCCUCCUGGAAGCCGGGGCGCGUGUGCACAGCCACGUGCGUCAGCCCGGUCUGGGGCGCAGCACUGAGUCACAGCGGCUGACCCAGCAAAGUGCUGAGAGUGUGACCGGAAUGAAGGGUUGCUCCGUCUGUCUCCGAGGUGGCGUGGCAGAUCAAAUCACAGCGGAUCAGGCGCCGAGAUGUUGCCUUGCUCUGAGUGACAGAAGUUAAUAAUUAGUGACAAUGAUUGGCAGAUACACUCCAUCUGCUGCUCCGACGCCUAGGAGCAGUUAUUCCACAACUGUCUGCGGGCACAAUGAACUCCCCCGGGAGCGCGGGCUGGCCUGUGAUUGACAGCUGCCUCCAAGAGAG
Microtus oregoni (creeping vole) is the source of this 674-nucleotide long non-coding RNA. RefSeq lists it as uncharacterized. Lineage: Eukaryota; Metazoa; Chordata; Mammalia; Rodentia; Cricetidae. The transcript is spliced from 3 exons. The record is from RefSeq and is a predicted model, not a curated record.